GUAAACAUAGUUUAAUCAAAACAUUAGACUGUGAAUCUAACCAUAGAAGCCUAUCACUUCUUGUUUACC
This 69-nucleotide transfer RNA is filed under the name Lophocebus aterrimus (Black crested mangabey). RNAcentral describes it as "tRNA-His". It matches the Rfam family "tRNA". Rfam says of the family: Transfer RNA (tRNA) molecules are approximately 80 nucleotides in length. Their secondary structure includes four short double-helical elements and three loops (D, anti-codon, and T loops). The record is from RNAcentral. Lineage: Eukaryota; Metazoa; Chordata; Mammalia; Primates; Cercopithecidae.